Molecule: ribosomal RNA, 427 nt
Filed under: uncultured bacterium
Lineage: Bacteria
Description: bacterial SSU rRNA
Rfam family: Bacterial small subunit ribosomal RNA
Source: RNAcentral
UGGGGAAUUUUGGACAAUGGGCGAAAGCCUGAUCCAGCCAUGCCGCGUGAGUGAAGAAGGCCUUCGGGUUGUAAAGCUCUUUUAGUCGGAAAGAAAGAGUUGCAAUGAAUAAUUGUGAUUUAUGACGGUACCGACAGAAAAAGCACCGGCUAACUACGUGCCAGCAGCCGCGGUAAUACGUAGGGUGCGAGCGUUAAUCGGAAUUACUGGGCGUAAAGGGUGCGCAGGCGGUCUUGCAAGUCAGAUGUGAAAGCCCCGGGCUUAACCUGGGAAUUGCGUUUGAAACUACAAGGCUAGAGUGCAGCAGAGGGGAGUGGAAUUCCAUGUGUAGCAGUGAAAUGCGUAGAGAUGUGGAAGCACACCGAUGGCGAAGGCAGCUCCCUGGGUUGACACUGACGCUCAUGCACGAAAGCGUGGGGAGCAAACA